Molecule: ribosomal RNA, 485 nt
Filed under: uncultured bacterium
Lineage: Bacteria
Description: bacterial SSU rRNA
Rfam family: Bacterial small subunit ribosomal RNA
Source: RNAcentral
GACGAACGCUGGCGGCGUGCUUAACACAUGCAAGUCGAACGGAAAGUGCCCUUUCGGGGGUGACUCGAGUGGCGAACGGGUGAGUAACACGUGGGUGAUCUGCCCUGCACUUUGGGAUAAGCCUGGGAAACUGGGUCUAAUACCGGAUAGGACCACGCGCUUCAUGGUGUGUGGUGGAAAGCUUUUGCGGUGUGGGAUGGGCCCGCGGCCUAUCAGCUUGUUGGUGGGGUAAUGGCCUACCAAGGCGACGACGGGUAGCCGGCCUGAGAGGGAGACCGGCCACACUGGGACUGAGAUACGGCCCAGACUCCUACGGGAGGCAGCAGUGGGGAAUAUUGCACAAUGGGCGCAAGCCUGAUGCAGCGACGCCGCGUGAGGGAUGACGGCCUUCGGGUUGUAAACCUCUUUCAGCAGGGACGAAGCGCAAGUGACGGUACCUGUAGAAGAAGGACCGGCCAACUACGUGCCAGCCGCCGCGGUAAAAC